This 380-nucleotide ribosomal RNA is filed under the name uncultured eukaryote. RNAcentral describes it as "partial 18S ribosomal RNA". It matches the Rfam family "Eukaryotic small subunit ribosomal RNA", at positions 592 to 976 of the family's 1831-position model. The record is from RNAcentral.
CAAUAGCGUAUAUUAAAGUUGUUGCAGUUAAAAAGCUCGUAGUUGGAUUUGUGGCGUACGGUGUGUUCCGGGCACUUGUUGCCUGAGUAACCUGCUGUUGCCAUCCUUGGGUGGAACCUGUGUGGCAUUGGGUUGUCGUGCAGGGGAUGCCCAUCAUUUACUGUGAAAAAAUUAGAGUGUUCAAAGCAGGCUUAUGCCGUUGAAUAUAUUAGCAUGGAAUAAUGAGAUAGGACUUUUUUGCUAUUUUGUUGGUUUGCGCAAAGAGGUAAUGAUUAAUAGGGACAGUUGGGGGUAUUCGUAUUCCAUUGUCAGAGGUGAAAUUCUUGGAUUUUUGGAAGACGAACUACUGCGAAAGCAUUUACCAAGGAUGUUUUCAUUAA